RNAcentral lists this ribosomal RNA (382 nucleotides) under uncultured bacterium. RNAcentral describes it as "bacterial SSU rRNA". It matches the Rfam family "Bacterial small subunit ribosomal RNA", at positions 28 to 413 of the family's 1533-position model. The record is from RNAcentral.
GAUGAACGCUGGCGGCGUGCUUAACACAUGCAAGUCGAACGUGAGAGGUAGCAAUAUCUUGAAAGUGGCGAACGGGUGAGUAACACGUAGGUGACCUGCCUCGGAGUGGGGGAUAACAGUUAGAAAUGACUGCUAAUACCGCAUGAAUCCACGGGAUUGGGAAAUUCGGUGGAGAAAACUCUGGUGCUUCGAGAGGGGCCUGCGGUCGAUUAGCUAGUUGGCGGGGUAACGGCCCACCAAGGCGACGAUCGAUAGCUGGUCUGAGAGGACGAUCAGCCACACGGGAACUGAGACACGGUCCCGACUCCUACGGGGGGCAGCAGUGAGGAAUAUUGGGCAAUGGGCGGAAGCCUGACCCAGCAACGCCGCGUGAAGGAAUGAA